This 451-nucleotide ribosomal RNA is filed under the name Campylobacter gracilis. RNAcentral describes it as "bacterial SSU rRNA". It matches the Rfam family "Bacterial small subunit ribosomal RNA", at positions 29 to 495 of the family's 1533-position model. Lineage: Bacteria; Pseudomonadati; Campylobacterota; Epsilonproteobacteria; Campylobacterales; Campylobacteraceae. The record is from RNAcentral.
AGUGAACGCUGGCGGCGUGCUUAAUACAUGCAAGUCGAACGGAAUUUAAGAGAGCUUGCUCUUUUAAAUUUAGUGGCGCACGGGUGAGUAAUAUAUAGCUAAUCUGCCCCUUGCUGGAGGACAACAGUUAGAAAUGACUGCUAAUACUCCAUACUCCUUUUUACCAUAAGAUAAAUCGGGAAAGAAUUUCGGCAAGGGAUGAGACUAUAUCGUAUCAGCUAGUCGGUGGGGUAACGGCCUACCGAGGCUAUGACGCGUAACUGGUCUGAGAGGAUGAUCAGUCACAUUGGAACUGAGACACGGUCCAAACUCCUACGGGAGGCAGCAGUAGGGAAUAUUGCGCAAUGGGGGAAACCCUGACGCAGCAACGCCGCGUGGAGGAUGACACUUUUCGGAGCGUAAACUCCUUUUGUUAGGGAAGAAUAAGGACGGACCUAACGAAUAAGCACCG